UUACCUGGUCUUGACAUCCACAGAACCUGGCAGAGAUGCCGGGGUGCCUUCGGGAACUGUGAGACAGGUGCUGCAUGGCUGUCGUCAGCUCGUGUUGUGAAAUGUUGGGUUAAGUCCCGCAACGAGCGCAACCCUUAUCCUUUGUUGCCAGCGGUCCGGCCGGGAACUCAAAGGAGACUGCCAGUGAUAAACUGGAGGAAGGUGGGGAUGACGUCAAGUCAUCAUGGCCCUUACGACCAGGGCUACACACGUGCUACAAUGGCGCAUACAAAGAGAAGCGACCUCGCGAGAGCAAGCGGACCUCAUAAAGUGCGUCGUAGUCCGGAUUGGAGUCUGCAACUCGACUCCAUGAAGUCGGAAUCGCUAGUAAUCGUGAAUCAGAAGUCACGGGAAACGAC
This 398-nucleotide ribosomal RNA is filed under the name Enterobacter sp. AC37. RNAcentral describes it as "bacterial SSU rRNA". It matches the Rfam family "Bacterial small subunit ribosomal RNA", at positions 971 to 1366 of the family's 1533-position model. The record is from RNAcentral. Lineage: Bacteria; Pseudomonadati; Pseudomonadota; Gammaproteobacteria; Enterobacterales; Enterobacteriaceae.